UGAGUGGCACAAGCAAAUAAUUAAAACUUUUAACAACGGAUCUCUUGGUUCUGGCAUCGAUGAAGAACGCAGCGAAAUGCGAUAAGUAAUGUGAAUUGCAGAAUUCAGUGAAUCAUCGAAUCUUUGAACGCACAUUGCGCUCGCCAGCAUUCUGGCGAGCAUGCCUGUUCGAGCGUCAUUU
This 181-nucleotide ribosomal RNA is filed under the name sordariomycete sp. agrAP4244. Its description in RNAcentral is "5.8S ribosomal RNA". The stretch from base 25 to 178 matches the Rfam family "5.8S ribosomal RNA". Rfam says of the family: 5.8S ribosomal RNA (5.8S rRNA) is a component of the large subunit of the eukaryotic ribosome. It is transcribed by RNA polymerase I as part of the 45S precursor that also contains 18S and 28S rRNA. Lineage: Eukaryota; Fungi; Ascomycota; Sordariomycetes. The record is from RNAcentral.